GUCCUCAUAGCGCGACGCGACGCCAAUGGAUGUUAUGGCGUCGCGUCGGAUGUUAUGUUAUAUUCGGCUGUUUUUGUUUGGAAUGUGGAAAAAAGUUAGUGACCAUUGGCCCGGUGGCGGUUCGUGAUCGGUAUUCCAGCCCCGACUGCGUACCACAGGGUAAACCUAUAUAUUCCUCGCCUCGCGAGAGGCAUGUGCCAUCGCGCGAUAGCGCGACAAGCAACAGCUGUACUGGUACACUGGACAAGUAGCCGUACUGGUGUGUACAUUUACUGUUUGUGGAAAAGAAAAAAAAAAAAAAAAAAAGGUGAUUGGUUAUCAUCGCG
This 326-nucleotide long non-coding RNA is filed under the name Androctonus crassicauda. The record is from RNAcentral. Lineage: Eukaryota; Metazoa; Arthropoda; Arachnida; Scorpiones; Buthidae.